UCCCUGAUGGUUCAGUUAGUAAAGAAUCUGCCUGCAAUGCGGAAGACCUGGGUUCAAUUCCUGGCUUGGGAA
This 72-nucleotide transfer RNA is filed under the name Bos taurus (domestic cattle). It matches the Rfam family "tRNA". From Rfam's summary of the family: Transfer RNA (tRNA) molecules are approximately 80 nucleotides in length. Their secondary structure includes four short double-helical elements and three loops (D, anti-codon, and T loops). Further hydrogen bonds mediate the characteristic L-shaped molecular structure. tRNAs have two regions of fundamental functional importance: the anti-codon, which is responsible for specific mRNA codon recognition, and the 3' end, to which the tRNAs corresponding amino acid is attached (by aminoacyl-tRNA synthetases). tRNAs cope with the degeneracy of the genetic code in two manners: having more than one tRNA (with a specific anti-codon) for a particular amino acid; and 'wobble' base-pairing, i.e. permitting non-standard base-pairing at the 3rd anti-codon position. RNAcentral also lists the same sequence under 5 other names. Lineage: Eukaryota; Metazoa; Chordata; Mammalia; Artiodactyla; Bovidae. The record is from Rfam by way of RNAcentral.